GCUGCGGUGGCCGAGUGGUCUAAGGCGGUAGAUUUAAGUCAAUGAACUCUACUGGAGAGAUCCGCGCGAGUUCGAACCUCGUCCGCAGCA
The sequence is a transfer RNA, 90 nucleotides long. It matches the Rfam family "tRNA". From Rfam's summary of the family: Transfer RNA (tRNA) molecules are approximately 80 nucleotides in length. Their secondary structure includes four short double-helical elements and three loops (D, anti-codon, and T loops). Further hydrogen bonds mediate the characteristic L-shaped molecular structure. tRNAs have two regions of fundamental functional importance: the anti-codon, which is responsible for specific mRNA codon recognition, and the 3' end, to which the tRNAs corresponding amino acid is attached (by aminoacyl-tRNA synthetases). tRNAs cope with the degeneracy of the genetic code in two manners: having more than one tRNA (with a specific anti-codon) for a particular amino acid; and 'wobble' base-pairing, i.e. permitting non-standard base-pairing at the 3rd anti-codon position. The record is from Rfam.